UCCGCAAAAUUAACAACAUGCAGUAUAUGAUCCAUGACUUUAACUAUGCUAUUACUAUCUAGUAAUGAUUUACUCAAAAUGUAUAAUACAUGUACUGGUGUUAAAAAAGAUGAGCGAAGAUCCCAGAGGGACAUUAAUGCAAACUCAUAGAUCGAAAAUUAUCUGACAGCGCCAUGUCUAAAAAAGAAAAAGACACACAAACAA
RNAcentral lists this long non-coding RNA (204 nucleotides) under Mytilus galloprovincialis (Mediterranean mussel). The record is from RNAcentral. Lineage: Eukaryota; Metazoa; Mollusca; Bivalvia; Mytilida; Mytilidae.